Molecule: ribosomal RNA, 301 nt
Filed under: uncultured bacterium
Lineage: Bacteria
Description: partial 16S ribosomal RNA
Rfam family: Bacterial small subunit ribosomal RNA
Source: RNAcentral
CAGUAGCCACGGUAAUACGGAGGGAGCUAGCGUUGUUCGGAAUCACUGGGCGUAAAGCGCACGUAGGCGGCUAUUCAAGUCAGGGGUGAAUGCCCGGGGCUCAACCCCGGAACUGCCUUUGAAACUAGAUAGCUUGAAUCUUGGAGAGGCGAGUGGAAUUCCGAGUGUAGAGGUGAAAUUCGUAGAUAUUCGGAAGAACACCAGUGGCGAAGGCGACUCGCUGGACAAGUAUUGACGCUGAGGUGCGAAAGCGUGGGGAGCAAACAGGAUUAGAUACCCCUGUAGUCCCUGUCUCUUAUAC